GCCCUUUUAACUCAAUGCUAGAGUAAUGCCAUGGUAAGGCAUAAGUCACCAGUUCAAAUCUUAUAAAGGGCU
Molecule: transfer RNA, 72 nt
Filed under: Setaria italica (foxtail millet)
Lineage: Eukaryota; Viridiplantae; Streptophyta; Magnoliopsida; Poales; Poaceae
Rfam family: tRNA
About the family: Transfer RNA (tRNA) molecules are approximately 80 nucleotides in length. Their secondary structure includes four short double-helical elements and three loops (D, anti-codon, and T loops).
Source: Rfam by way of RNAcentral